RNAcentral lists this transfer RNA (74 nucleotides) under Haemophilus influenzae. RNAcentral describes it as "tRNA-Glu". Lineage: Bacteria; Pseudomonadati; Pseudomonadota; Gammaproteobacteria; Pasteurellales; Pasteurellaceae. The record is from RNAcentral.
UGUCCCCAUCGUCUAGAGGCCUAGGACAUCGCCCUUCACGGCGGUAACCGGGGUUCGAAUCCCGUGGGACGCCA